AGAGUUUGAUCCUGGCUCAGAGCGAACGCUGGCGGCGUGCCUAACACAUGCAAGUCGAACGUGAAAUGGGGCAACCCAAAGUAAAGUGGCGUACGGGUGAGUAACGCGUAGGUAAUCUACCCCAGAGUCUGGAAUAACCGGCCGAAAGGCUGGCUAAUACUGGAUAGAGCGACGGAAUCCGUAAUUGGGUUUUUCGGGAAAGGGAGGCCGUAAGGUCCCUUGCUCUGGGAUGAGCCUGCGUCUCAUUAGCUAGUUGGUGGGGUAAUGGCCUACCAAGGCUUUGAUGGGUAGCUGGUCUGAGAGGAUGAUCAGCCACACUGGAACUGAAACACGGUCCAGACUCCUACGGGAGGCAGCAGUGGGGAAUCUUGCGCAAUGGACGAAAGUCUGACGCAGCCACGCCGCGUGAGUGAAGAAGGCCUUCGGGUUGUAAAGCUCUGUCGGAGGGGACGAAAAUGCUUACGGUUCAUAGCCGUAGGUACUGACGGUACCCUUAAAGGAAGCACCGGCUAACUUCGUGCCAGCAGCCGCGGUAAUACGAGGGGUGCAAGCGUUGCUCGGAAUUAUUGGGCGUAAAGGGGAGGUAGGUGGUCUCAUUUGUCUGGGGUGAAAGCCUUGGGCUUAACUCAAGAAGUGCCCCAGAAACGGUGAGACUAGAGUCCUGGAGAGGGUCGUGGAAUUCCCGGUGUAGCGGUGAAAUGCGUAGAGAUCGGGAGGAACACCAGAGGCGAAGGCGGCGACCUGGACAGGUACUGACACUCAACUCCGAAAGCGUGGGGAGCAAACAGGAUUAGAUACCCUGGUAGUCCACGCUGUAAACGAUGGGAACUAGGUUUGGUGGGUCUUGACCCCCGCUGAACCGGCGCUAACGCACUAAGUUCCCCGCCUGGGAAGUACGGUCGCAAGACUAAAACUCAAAGGAAUUGACGG
This 930-nucleotide ribosomal RNA is filed under the name uncultured bacterium. Its description in RNAcentral is "bacterial SSU rRNA". It matches the Rfam family "Bacterial small subunit ribosomal RNA", at positions 8 to 916 of the family's 1533-position model. The record is from RNAcentral.